CGAGUGCCUCAAGCGUUAUCCGGAAUUACUGGGCGUAAAGGGUGUGUAGGCUGUUUUGUUAGUCUCCUGUUAAAACUUCCGGCUUAACCGGAAAUCUGCAGGGGAAACGGCAAAACUAGAGGAUAGGAGAGGUGAGCAGAACUCAUGGUGUAGGGGUGAAAUCCGUUGAUAUCAUGGGGAAUACCAAAUGCGAAGGCAGCUCACUGGCCUACUCCUGACGCUGAAACACGAAAGCGUGGGUAGCGAACGGGAUUAGAUACCCCGGUAGUCCACGCCCUAAACGAUCUUCUCUUGCUAUUCGGAGUAUCGACCCUCUGAGUGGCGAAGCUAACGCGUUAAGAGAAGCGCCUGGGUAGUACGGCCGCAAGGCUA
This 372-nucleotide ribosomal RNA is filed under the name uncultured organism. RNAcentral's name for it is "bacterial SSU rRNA". It matches the Rfam family "Bacterial small subunit ribosomal RNA", at positions 526 to 896 of the family's 1533-position model. The record is from RNAcentral.